UAAGACAGAACCCCCAAGCGUUAUCCGGAUUUAUUGGGCGUAAAGGGUCCGUAGGCGGUUUAGCAAGUCCAGCGUUAAAUACCUCGGGCUCAACCUGAGGGGUGCGCUGGAAACUGCUAAACUAGAGGGCGUUAGAGGCUGGCGGAACUCACGGUGUAGGGGUGAAAUCCGUUGAUAUCGUGGGGAACACCAAAAGCGAAGGCAGCCAGCUGGGGCGACCCUGACGCUGAGGGACGAAAGCGUGGGGAGCAAAAAGGAUUAGAUACCCUUGUAGUCCACGCCCUAAACGAUGGACACUGGCUGGUGCAAGUGUCGACCCUUGCACUGGCGAAGCUAACGCGUUAAGUGUCCCGCCUGGGAAGUACGGUCGCAAGGCUG
This 378-nucleotide ribosomal RNA is filed under the name uncultured bacterium. Its description in RNAcentral is "bacterial SSU rRNA". It matches the Rfam family "Bacterial small subunit ribosomal RNA", at positions 521 to 896 of the family's 1533-position model. The record is from RNAcentral.